UAAUGCUGCCACCCCUGGGGCCUUGGCACUAACACUCCUGGAGAGGGAGCAAAGGUUACCAAAUGAAGCCUCUGGGGAAAAGGGGGAAAUUCCCUACUUUCAUAAUAUGUAAAUAGGGCACAAAAUGGAGUCUCCCAGCCAGUACCUGAAGUGGUACCUCCUGCUUAGGAAUCCCAGUGACCACUCCCCAGUGAUGCAUUUUGGAGGGUCACUAGAAGAGCCUACAAAUGGGAUGCAACCUUCCAAAAUUAUUAUGCUGAUACAGCUCUGCAGGAUGAAAAGGGCAUCAACACUGACUAGUGCACAAGAGUUUCAGAGGAAUGGGGAAAAUAAAACAACUUAUUGAUCCGUUUUUGCAUUACUGAAGAGCUGUACAAAAGGAAAGGGGAUGCCCAGACUUGCUGUCUCCAUCACCUGGGAUAAUUAUACUGCUGUCCAAGCCUGGGGAAAGCCAAGCAGAGGUCAUACAGGUAUCAAAACCCUUCCAGGGCAAAGAAUUGAGAGAAGAGAACCUUCAUAUUAUUGGAGGACAGACCCAUUAUUUUCUAUGCUUAUAGUUUAUUCAUUGAGCUCCCU
RNAcentral lists this long non-coding RNA (576 nucleotides) under Pogona vitticeps (central bearded dragon). Its description in RNAcentral is "lncRNA (ENSPVIG00000007644.1)". The record is from RNAcentral. Lineage: Eukaryota; Metazoa; Chordata; Lepidosauria; Squamata; Agamidae.